CCUACGGGAGGCUGCAGUGGGGAAUAUUGGACAAUGGGGGCAACCCUGAUCCAGCCAUGCCGCGUGUGUGAAGAAGGCCCUCGGGUUGUAAAGCACUUUCAGUGAGGAAGAACGCCUGGUGGUUAAUACCCAUCAGGAAAGACAUCACUCACAGAAGAAGCACCGGCUAACUCCGUGCCAGCAGCCGCGGUAAUACGGAGGGUGCGAGCGUUAAUCGGAAUUACUGGGCGUAAAGCGCGCGUAGGUGGCUUGAUAAGCCGGUUGUGAAAGCCCCGGGCUCAACCUGGGAACGGCAUCCGGAACUGUCAAGCUAGAGUGCAGGAGAGGAAGGUAGAAUUCCCGGUGUAGCGGUGAAAUGCGUAGAGAUCGGGAGGAAUACCAGUGGUGAAGGCGGCCUUCUGGACUGACACUGACACUGAGGUGCGAAAGCGUGGGUAGCAAACAGGAUUAGAUACCCUUGUAGUC
This 465-nucleotide ribosomal RNA is filed under the name Vreelandella stevensii. RNAcentral's name for it is "partial 16S ribosomal RNA". It matches the Rfam family "Bacterial small subunit ribosomal RNA", at positions 338 to 795 of the family's 1533-position model. The record is from RNAcentral. Lineage: Bacteria; Pseudomonadati; Pseudomonadota; Gammaproteobacteria; Oceanospirillales; Halomonadaceae.